This 581-nucleotide ribosomal RNA is filed under the name uncultured fungus. Its description in RNAcentral is "eukaryotic LSU rRNA". The stretch from base 217 to 370 matches the Rfam family "5.8S ribosomal RNA". The record is from RNAcentral. Lineage: Eukaryota; Fungi.
CUUGGUCAUUUAGAGGAAGUAAAAGUCGUAACAAGGUCUCCGUUGGUGAACCAGCGGAGGGAUCAUUACCGAGCUUACAACUCCCAAACCCCUGUGAACAUACCACUUGUUGCCUCGGCGGAUCAGCCCGCUCCCGGUAAAACGGGACGGCCCGCCAGAGGACCCCUAAACUCUGUUUCUAUAUGUAACUUCUGAGUAAAACCAUAAAUAAAUCAAAACUUUCAACAACGGAUCUCUUGGUUCUGGCAUCGAUGAAGAACGCAGCAAAAUGCGAUAAGUAAUGUGAAUUGCAGAAUUCAGUGAAUCAUCGAAUCUUUGAACGCACAUUGCGCCCGCCAGUAUUCUGGCGGGCAUGCCUGUUCGAGCGUCAUUUCAACCCUCAAGCACAGCUUGGUGUUGGGACUCGCGUUAAUUCGCGUUCCUCAAAUUGAUUGGCGGUCACGUCGAGCUUCCAUAGCGUAGUAGUAAAACCCUCGUUACUGGUAAUCGUCGCGGCCACGCCGUUAAACCCCAACUUCUGAAUGUUGACCUCGGAUCAGGUAGGAAUACCCGCUGAACUUAAGCAUAUCAAUAAGCGGAGG